RNAcentral lists this long non-coding RNA (288 nucleotides) under Dunaliella salina. RNAcentral describes it as "long non-coding RNA (DSAL_LNC000453)". Lineage: Eukaryota; Viridiplantae; Chlorophyta; Chlorophyceae; Chlamydomonadales; Dunaliellaceae. The record is from RNAcentral.
CCCAAUAUUGUAGAUGCCUGGUCCUGAGGUCCAAGACAAAACGACUGAGAUCAAUGGACUCACAAUUCAGCAGCUUCUGUUUGAAGAUGUGGGAGUGUGCCAAACCAUCCAUAGCUGACAGAAUAUGGGAGGACCAACAAUCAUCGGACCUUGAGCUCAGCCGCAUGUCAGCCUGCAAAAUCUUUUUCAUUGUCGAGCUGUUGCAUCGGGUCAGAGAAUUAUAAAGACGCAUUGCUGCUCGGAACCAGUUGAACUGUAAGGGCUCCAAACCACAUUCUCGCAUGAUGC